Molecule: unclassified non-coding RNA, 237 nt
Filed under: Hevea brasiliensis (rubber tree)
Lineage: Eukaryota; Viridiplantae; Streptophyta; Magnoliopsida; Malpighiales; Euphorbiaceae
Source: RNAcentral
UUUUUUUUUUUUUUUUUGAAAAGCAGGGUAUUAUGUUUCUGGUCUUACAACUGCAUAGACUUCAAUAUAUACAUACAGACAGGGAAGUUAAUUAACUGCGAUACGUCUUUAACUGGUUUUUUCAGGCACAAGCAUAACUGUCACAGACAGUGACUUAACAAUGCGUCAGUAAGCUGCUAUUUUACUGUAUUCACAACCGCCAGUUGCAUUAAUAUCUGCCCAUACUUCAUUAACACG